GCCCGAGUGCCGCCGUCACCACCAGCGCCCGACCCCGAGCUCCUCCUCCCGUGCGCCUCCUCCCUGGCUUCCCUCGCGCGUCGUCCGGCGACCGGCGCCGCCGCCGCCGACCACCCAGGUCACGCCGCCGCUUCCAUGCCUUCUCUCUCUCUAAUCUUCUUGUCUCUCCUCUCCAGGAGCUCAGCGCCAGCGCCAUGGAUGUCCAGUCCUCGAGCUCUCCUUGGAGAUUCGAACGCCGCCACGGGACCUCCACCAGCCAGAUCCGGCGCCUACCUCCCGGAUCCGCGCUCCCUCCACCUCCUCUACCCGAUCCGGCGCCGUCGAACCCGCCAAGACCUCCACCAUGGAGUUCCUAUAGCUCGUCCCCUGCCUCCUCGUCCUGUGCUCGAGGGAGACGCCCCUCCAGCGCAUCCAGGACAAGGCCCACCGCCAGCCGGUCGUUGUUGCACUCACCGGCGACCUCACCCUCCCCUCUGCACUGCCCUCCACCUCAACUGAUGCUUCUCACCAACAGGGAUAUAUUUAGCUGGUCAUAGCUUGUGGAUGUUCUCUGUUAAUUUUUGCACACAAGGUGUUUGUGUGUUUGUCCAAGCCAAUGUUCAUGAGCUUUAUCUUUGCUAUAAAUGACAUGGCUGAGAAAGUCCCUUCAAUGAAAGGAGGAGUAUAGUCUUGGCCAUGGCUGGGAAGGAAGGAGAACAUGUAAAUUGAGGAUUUUUCAGAGAGAUUAGGACUGCUUGAUUUAUCAGAGAGAAAACCUUGAUCAGGAGCUUCGUCGAUGCAGGCCUUCAUGCUGGACCGAGGAGGAGAAGAAGGGGGGCACGUCGAAGGUGCCGGUGGAGCGCGCCGUCGAGAUUGUUGAUGACAGCGACACGGGCGAGGCCGGGGAGGAGGUCAUGGUCAGCUAAUGCUUCUGGUCGUACGUCGUUGGCGUUUUUGCGCAAAAGCCCCUCUAUUUCUUUGAAAUAAGCCCGCAGUCCCUGUUUAAGUGGCACUCUGGAAAAACGUUUCAUGUUUGCGCGACAUCCCGGGGACGACGCCACCGCCCCGGCGCCUGCCAGAUCCAAGCGGGGAAGGGGAGGAGGGGGCAUCCCAGCGGUGGUGAAGCUUGGCGGAGUAGGGGGCGGGUCGGCCUGCUGGUUUGCCGGCACUGGAAAGGCUCGUGGCAGGGAGCUCCUCUCCUCUGCUUUGGGAGGUGGCUGAAGCGCUCGGGCUGCAGAGCUGCGGGGCAGGGGCCGAAGGUGGUGGUGCGGACGCUGGAUGGGACUUGGUGCAGGUCUCCGGCGAGAUGGGGAUAGCGUGGAUGAGGUCUGGACGCCGGCGGUGCUUGGGCAUCGGGCGGCCAUGGCCAUCUCUCUGCAAAAAAUAGAAGACAGAGAGAGAGCUCUUAGAGAAAAGAAGCACGGGGAAGAGAAGAGAGAUGGAGGGAAGAAGGGAAGUCUGAAGAUAUGGCGAUGGUACAUAGAAGAGCUAACGAGAAGAGAAAACUGGGGGCCUUCACCCGAGCGGCCACAGAAUUCUUGGGCCAUCGGCAGACGAGCAGCACCACCAGGCCGCCUCCGCCACAGGCCCAGCCAGCUCCUGCAUGUGCUGGCCAGCCGCUAGAUCUGGCGAGCAACCGAGCCGCCACUGCAAACCAGCACCACAGCCCCCCAUAGUCACCAGCCACUCACGGGCACGGGCUCCACCACCACGGCAUGGGGACUCCACCCCAGGCCCCUAUGCGCCGACGAGCAGGCCACCGCCGCCCCAGCCGCAGCAGUAAACGCACACACCAAAGCUCUGCCCCACCUUUGGCAGCCGGGUGCCGGUAAGUGGCUGUAGCCAGCCACCGAGGCCGCGCACUCCAGGACUGGAGUUCAUCAUCGGCAGAGCACGGGCGGCUGGUGGGGUGGAGCACGGCCAUGCGUGGUAGGAGGAGAACUUGGGGUAGGGCAAACGCGCGCCAAGCCGGUAGUGGACGCGCUGUAUAGAGAAGAGGAGAGCAGCGCUGGUGGUGAGGUGGAUGGAUGGAGAAGAGGGGAGGAGUAGCGCUUGGUGGUGAGGUUGCAGGAGGAGGAAGAUGGAGGCGGAGCGGCGCUGUGGACUGAGGAGGAAUAGCGAUGUGGAUGGAAAAGCUUAGAAGGGGCACGCAGUGGGCGCUCGGUGGGGAUUUGGCUAUUGCUUCUUUUUUAAUCAUUUGUUGUUGUUAGAUGCACAGACUGGAAGAAGCUACUGGAGCGUGCUAGAACCACCGAUUAGAAUAUUUUGUGGUGCUCAUCCGUUGGAAUUAUGUGCGACUGUUCAUGGCGUUCCAAAAAAUGGUUUAUUCUGCUAACAUGUUCUCAGUGUCCUAUAUUGAACUCCUUUUGCUCCCUUGACCCUUCUCACAUUGGUACACUGUGAUUAUUUGAUUGUACCGAGCUGGCACACUUGCACUCUGAUGGCAACCGUUCCAAGUUAGUAAGCCAUAUGCUUAUAUUCA
Molecule: long non-coding RNA, 2461 nt
Organism: Triticum aestivum (bread wheat)
Lineage: Eukaryota; Viridiplantae; Streptophyta; Magnoliopsida; Poales; Poaceae
Exons: 2
Source: RefSeq, a predicted model, not a curated record